Molecule: ribosomal RNA, 253 nt
Filed under: uncultured bacterium
Lineage: Bacteria
Description: partial 16S ribosomal RNA
Rfam family: Bacterial small subunit ribosomal RNA
Source: RNAcentral
UACGUAGGGCGCAAGCGUUGUCCGGAAUUAUUGGGCGUAAAGAGCUCGUAGGCGGUUUGUCGCGUCUGCUGUGAAAAUCCUGGGCUUAACCCUGGACCUGCAGUGGGUACGGGCAGACUGGAGUGCGGUAGGGGAGAUCGGAAUUCCUGGUGUAGCGGUGAAAUGCGCAGAUAUCAGGAGGAACACCGGUGGCGAAGGCGGAUCUCUGGGCCGUAACUGACGCUGAGGAGCGAAAGCAUGGGGAGCGAACAGG